This 667-nucleotide ribosomal RNA is filed under the name Salmonella enterica. Its description in RNAcentral is "partial 23S ribosomal RNA". It matches the Rfam family "Bacterial large subunit ribosomal RNA", at positions 1 to 701 of the family's 2925-position model. Lineage: Bacteria; Pseudomonadati; Pseudomonadota; Gammaproteobacteria; Enterobacterales; Enterobacteriaceae. The record is from RNAcentral.
GGGUUGUGAGGUUAAGCGACUAAGCGUACACGGUGGAUGCCCUGGCAGUCAGAGGCGAUGAAGGGCGUGCUAAUCUGCGAUAAGCGCCGGUAAGGUGAUAUGAACCGUUAUAACCGGCGAUACCCGAAUGGGGAAACCCAGUGUGAUUCGUCACACUAUCAUUAACUGAAUCCAUAGGUUAAUGAGGCGAACCGGGGGAACUGAAACAUCUAAGUACCCCGAGGAAAAGAAAUCAACCGAGAUUCCCCCAGUAGCGGCGAGCGAACGGGGAGGAGCCCAGAGCCUGAAUCAGCAUGUGUGUUAGUGGAAGCGUCUGGAAAGGCGCGCGAUACAGGGUGACAGCCCCGUACACAAAAGCGCAUGUGCUGUGAGCUCGAUGAGUAGGGCGGGACACGUGGUAUCCUGUCUGAAUAUGGGGGGACCAUCCUCCAAGGCUAAAUACUCCUGACUGACCGAUAGUGAACCAGUACCGUGAGGGAAAGGCGAAAAGAACCCCGGCGAGGGGAGUGAAAAAGAACCUGAAACCGUGUACGUACAAGCAGUGGGAGCACCCUUUGGGGUGUGACUGCGUACCUUUUGUAUAAUGGGUCAGCGACUUAUAUUCUGUAGCAAGGUUAACCGCAUAGGGGAGCCGGAGGGAAACCGAGUCUUAAUUGGGCGUUAAGUU